UGUGACAUCACAAUGCUCCAAUGUUACAUCACAAUACUCCAAUAUGCCAGCACUGUGGCUCCAUGUGCCAUUAUAGUGCUAAAAUGUGCCAUCAUAAUG
Molecule: microRNA precursor, 99 nt
Filed under: Nannospalax galili (Upper Galilee mountains blind mole rat)
Lineage: Eukaryota; Metazoa; Chordata; Mammalia; Rodentia; Spalacidae
Description: miRNA (ENSNGAG00000005770.1)
Source: RNAcentral